UCAGAGGUUAAAGAGCACUGACU
RNAcentral lists this non-coding RNA (23 nucleotides) under Cricetulus griseus (Chinese hamster). Lineage: Eukaryota; Metazoa; Chordata; Mammalia; Rodentia; Cricetidae. The record is from RNAcentral.